CCAAGGCGGUUCCCGAUGCAAUGUCCGAUGCCGAGGCGGUGCCCGAUGCCGAGGCGGUGCCCGAUGCGGUGCCAGAGACGGUGCCAGAGACGGUUCCCGAUGUAAUGCCCGAGACCGAUGCUGUUCCGCAGGUCGAGGCGGUGCCCGAGGCUGUGCCCGAUGCCGAAGCGGUGCCCGAUGCUGUUCCGGAGGCCGAGGCGGUGCCCGAUGCGCAGGCCGAGGUCGUUCCCGAGGCGGUGUCCUUGUCCAAGGCCGUUCCCGAGGCCGUUCCCGAGGCGGUGCCCGAUGCCGAGACCGUUCCCGAGGCGGUGCCCGAUGCCGAGGCCGUUCCCGAGGCGGUGCCCGAUGCCGAGGUCGUUCCCGAGGCGGUGUCCUUGUCCGAUGCCAUUCCCGAGGCAGUGCCCGAUGCUGUUCCGGAGGCCGAGGCGGGGCCCGAGAUGGUUCUGGAGGCGAUACCCGUGUCCAAGGCCGUUCCCGAGGCGGUGCCCUUGUCUGAGGCCGUUCCCGAUGCCGUUCCCAAUGCCGUGACCUGGCCAUCGCCACAGCCUGCUCCUUACUGGCUCCCCGAUUGGCAGGUUCCGUUCGGGCCACUCAAAUGGCGAAUUCCUCCCUGGCCGUCUGCACAACGAGAAUGGACUGAUCCACCGUGGCCACCUGAACUGCCUGGCCCCUCGUGGUCCCCUGAACUUUCGGGUCCACCGUGGCCACCUGAACUGCCUGGUCCCUCGUGGUCCCCUGAACUUUCGGGUCCACCAUGGCCCCCUGAUCUGACCGAGCCACCUGGGCUACCA
Cyprinus carpio carpio is the source of this 791-nucleotide long non-coding RNA. The record is from Ensembl. Lineage: Eukaryota; Metazoa; Chordata; Actinopteri; Cypriniformes; Cyprinidae.